RNAcentral lists this ribosomal RNA (480 nucleotides) under Flavobacteriales bacterium 'ARUP UnID 329'. RNAcentral describes it as "bacterial SSU rRNA". It matches the Rfam family "Bacterial small subunit ribosomal RNA", at positions 27 to 506 of the family's 1533-position model. The record is from RNAcentral. Lineage: Bacteria; Pseudomonadati; Bacteroidota; Flavobacteriia; Flavobacteriales.
GGAUGAACGCUAGCGGCAGGCCUAACACAUGCAAGUCGAGGGGUAGAGCUACUUUAGUAGUUUGAGACCGGCGCACGGGUGCGUAACGCGUAUGCAAUCUACCUUAUACAGAGGGAUAGCCCAGAGAAAUUUGGAUUAAUACCUCAUAGUAUAUUUGAGUGGCAUCAUUUAGAUAUUAAAGAUUUAUCGGUAUAAGAUGAGCAUGCGUCCCAUUAGUUAGUUGGUGUGGUAACGGCAUACCAAGACGAUGAUGGGUAGGGGUCCUGAGAGGGAGAUCCCCCACACUGGUACUGAGACACGGACCAGACUCCUACGGGAGGCAGCAGUGAGGAAUAUUGGUCAAUGGAGGCAACUCUGAACCAGCCAUGCCGCGUGCAGGAAGAAUGUCCUAUGGAUUGUAAACUGCUUUUGUACGGGAAGAAAACGUGCUAUGUAUAGCAAACUGACGGUACCGUAAGAAUAAGGAUCGGCUAACUCCGU